GUGGCGGACGGGUGAGUAACGCGUGGGUAACCUGCCUCAUACAGGGGGAUAACAGUUGGAAACGACUGCUAAUACCGCAUAAGCGCACAGGACUGCAUGAUCCAGUGUGAAAAACUCCGGUGGUAUGAGAUGGACCCGCGUCUGAUUAGCCAGUUGGCGGGGUAACGGCCCACCAAAGCGACGAUCAGUAGCCGACCUGAGAGGGUGACCGGCCACAUUGGGACUGAGACACGGCCCAAACUCCUACGGGAGGCAGCAGUGGGGAAUAUUGCACAAUGGGGGAAACCCUGAUGCAGCGACGCCGCGUGAGCGAAGAAGUAUUUCGGUAUGUAAAGCUCUAUCAGCAGGGAAGAAGAAUGACGGUACCUGACUAAGAAGCACCGGCUAAAUACGUGCCAGCAGCCGCGGUAAUACGUAUGGUGCAAGCGUUAUCCGGAUUUACUGGGUGUAAAGGGAGCGCAGGCGGUACGGUAAGUCUGAUGUGAAAUCCCGGGGCUCAACCCCGGUACUGCAUUGGAAACUGUCGGACUAGAGUGUCGGAGGGGUAAGUGGAAUUCCUAGUGUAGCGGUGAAAUGCGUAGAUAUUAGGAGGAACACCAGUGGCGAAGGCGGC
This 613-nucleotide ribosomal RNA is filed under the name uncultured Lachnospiraceae bacterium. Its description in RNAcentral is "bacterial SSU rRNA". It matches the Rfam family "Bacterial small subunit ribosomal RNA", at positions 95 to 725 of the family's 1533-position model. Lineage: Bacteria; Bacillati; Bacillota; Clostridia; Lachnospirales; Lachnospiraceae. The record is from RNAcentral.